GAGUGAACGCUGGCGGCAGGCCUAACACAUGCAAGUCGAGCGGCAGCGGGUCCUUCGGGCUGCCGGCGAGCGGCGGACGGGUGAGGAAUGCAUCGGAAUCUGCCCUGUCGUGGGGGAUAACCUAGGGAAACUUAGGCUAAUACCGCAUACGACCCACGGGUGAACGCGGGGGAUCGCACAACCUCGCGCGAUAGGAUGAGCCGAUGUCCGAUUAGCUAGUUGGCGGGGUAAAGGCCCACCAAGGCGACGAUCGGUAGCUGGUCUGAGAGGAUGAUCAGCCACACUGGGACUGAGACACGGCCCAGACUCCUACGGGAGGCAGCAGUGGGGAAUAUUGGACAAUGGGCGCAAGCCUGAUCCAGCCAUGCCGCGUGGGUGAAGAAGGCCUUCGGGUUGUAAAGCCCUUUUGUCCGGGAAGAAAUCGUCUGGGCUAAUACCCCGGGCGGAUGACGGUACCGGAAGAAUAAGCACCGGCUAACUUCGUG
This 485-nucleotide ribosomal RNA is filed under the name uncultured bacterium. RNAcentral describes it as "partial 16S ribosomal RNA". It matches the Rfam family "Bacterial small subunit ribosomal RNA", at positions 27 to 507 of the family's 1533-position model. The record is from RNAcentral.